Molecule: long non-coding RNA, 1918 nt
Organism: Clupea harengus (Atlantic herring)
Lineage: Eukaryota; Metazoa; Chordata; Actinopteri; Clupeiformes; Clupeidae
Source: RefSeq, a predicted model, not a curated record
CAGUUUCCAUGAUUAACCACAGAGCAUGAAUUCUCAUCAAGAUAAACUUCAUCUGCUGUCUGGCUACAUGUGAUGUAUUUAAGAGAAUACAUUGAAUUGGAACUCGACAGCCUUAGCUAAAGUCACCCUCUUCAUAAGCUCAGUUUCCUCAAAAGAACCAUAAACCAUAGACCAUUAGAAAAUAAAGUCAGCAUAACUUUUGCCCAGGGCAAGAGGUGGUUGUUGUGGCCAUAAUGUACACAAGCAGCCACAGAGCAAUUGCAUGGUGCAGUGUUAAGAAAACUUCCAAAAGGAUUUAGGUUCACUAAGGAAAAGACCAUUUCUGAAAAAAUGCAAGGAAUCAAACAAGGAUAAGAAAUUUGACAUAAUAUCCAAUCACAACACUCUUUUGUUGGUUUAACUGAAACAAAUAUCCUCGUGCAAAAGGAUUUGAUGGAUGGCAUUGUUUCUUUAACAGCCCAUGUGAUACGAACCAUUAUGGUUCAGAUGAUGAUAAUAAUAGCCAGAUAUUGAUGACACAAAUAAUAAUAUAACUUUCAUAUAAUAUAUUUUUAUGUUAAUAGUUCUACUGUGUGACCAUCAAUCUGACAGUGUCCCAAGUCUUCUCAAAAUCUUUAUGAAAGCUGUUAACAGAAAAGAGCACCAAACACUAUUAAUCUGAUAGGGUUUCAUGGCAUCCUUCAGUCUGUUAAUUGUAUUAACACAAACUCAGUAAAAUCACUUAAUUCCUGAAAUAUGUCUUGCUUACAGGGCCUAUCUUAGGGCAAAGGGCCUAAGCCUAGUUCACAGUGACAGUUCAAAUGUAUAUAGAAGUCACCACUUCUUGCACUAGCUCCGUUUUAAUAUUUUAUAAAAUCUCAUAUGAUAGAACACAUGACUAAUGACUCUCUCCCUGAAAAUUAUUUCAGAGAUAUCUCCCAUGAAGGCAACCCUCCUAGCUCAACCCUCUCUCUUACACACACCAAGAGGGGAGAAAAGCAAACAAACAAAAAACAAAACAUAGCAAAGCCAAACAAUCAAACAAACAAACAAAAACAGUAGACCAUAGAGACAUUCAGUUUCCUUAUAUGGUAACCUACGGCAACUUAAAAGCUUAUUUUGCCCUAAUGCCCUACUCAUUUUGAGCAUUUUUUUUUUCUGACACCAGUAAAUGCCUAGAAUCACAAAACCUGUCCUUUUAACAACACUAUACCAACUUAAAACAGAAUUAUAAGCGAGUGAUUUUAUAUUGUGUGCUCAUGGAACUCAACUUCUCAACUGAACCAGGCCUUCCUCACUGCUUGCAUAUCCCAGCAUUUCAGUUGUUUAAACCUCACAUUCCUGUGUGGUGUCAUUCGCGUUUGUUUGUAGGGGAACGCGUUUGUUUAUUAGCCAAAAGUUAGCUUUGCUACCUGGACAGCUAGCUGCAGUAGCCGAACAGUAAGUUAGCCACAUGUAACACUCCCUCAGCGGUUUUGUAGUAUCUCCUGAAAGACAACGCCGUGAAACCCAGGAGGGCCCGUCUGCUUACCAACAAUGGACGUUCCCUUUCCUGCAUCAAAGAAUAAUCCAGAGAUGACAAAGGUGGCUGUCCCGAAUCUACGGCAGUUAAAGUGACAUCAUAUUGAAACUCUUUCUCCCUGUCCAGUGGGGAGCUAGUGAUUAAGGAGUAUAUGUUAUCCUGUGAGGACGCCACCAGUUUAAAAGGCCUAGAAUCCUCUGAGACUGCUCUUGAGAAGGAUGUCACCUUAAUCUCAGGGUUUUGGCAUCAACCCCUAAAUCCUUUGCGAUGUUGCCCACGACUGCUCCAUCCUCCUGUUCUUCCGAAAUGGAAUAUCGUAUUUGCGCCAAAGAUCCUCUCCAGAACAAAAAGGCAAAACCGAAGAUAAGCGACUGCAGUGACUUCCACCACGAUGGACGUCGUCUUUGUUCCAUAUUC